This 446-nucleotide ribosomal RNA is filed under the name uncultured bacterium. RNAcentral describes it as "partial 16S ribosomal RNA". It matches the Rfam family "Bacterial small subunit ribosomal RNA", at positions 29 to 523 of the family's 1533-position model. The record is from RNAcentral.
AACGAACGCUGGCGGCAGGCCUAACACAUGCAAGUCGAGCGCCCCGCAAGGGAGCGGCGGACGGGUGAGUAACGCGUGGGAACGUACCUUUUGCUUCGGAAUAGCCUCGGGAAACUGGGAGUAAUACCGAAUGUGCCCUACGGGGGAAAGAUUUAUCGGCAAAAGAUCGGCCCGCGUUGGAUUAGGUAGUUGGUGGGGUAAUGGCCUACCAAGCCGACGAUCCAUAGCUGGUUUGAGAGGAUGAUCAGCCACACUGGGACUGAGACACGGCCCAGACUCCUACGGGAGGCAGCAGUGGGGAAUCUUAGACAAUGGGCGCAAGCCUGAUCUAGCCAUGCCGCGUGAGCGAUGAAGGCCUUAGGGUUGUAAAACUCUUUCGUGGGGGAAGAUAAUGACUGUACCCCAAGAAGAAGCCCCGGCUAACUCCGUGCCAGCAGCCGCCGUAA